UACGGAGGGUGCGAGCGUUGCUCGGAAUCAUUGGGCGUAAAGCGCACGUAGGCGGCGGCGUAAGCGGGAUGUGAAAGCCCAGGGCUCAACCCUGGAAGUGCAUCCCGAACUGUGUCGCUUGAAUCUCGGGGGGGGACAGAGAAUUCCCGGUGUAGAGGUGAAAUUCGUAGAUAUCGGGAGGAAUACCAGUGGCGAAGGCGCUGUCCUGGACGAAGAUUGACGCUGAGGUGCGAAAGCGUGGGGAGCAGACAGG
Molecule: ribosomal RNA, 253 nt
Filed under: uncultured bacterium
Lineage: Bacteria
Description: partial 16S ribosomal RNA
Rfam family: Bacterial small subunit ribosomal RNA
Source: RNAcentral